Molecule: unclassified non-coding RNA, 253 nt
Filed under: uncultured Nitriliruptoraceae bacterium
Lineage: Bacteria; Bacillati; Actinomycetota; Nitriliruptoria; Nitriliruptorales; Nitriliruptoraceae
Description: contains 16S-23S intergenic spacer region
Rfam family: Bacterial small subunit ribosomal RNA
Source: RNAcentral
UACGUAGGGGGCGAGCGUUGUCCGGAAUCAUUGGACGUAAAGCGCGUGUAGGCGGCCCGUUAAGUCGGAUGUGAAAGCCCGGAGCCCAACUCCGGAACUGCAUCCGAUACUGGCGGGCUUGAGGCUGGUAGAGGAGAGUGGAAUUCCCGGUGUAGCGGUGGAAUGCGUAGAUAUCGGGAGGAACACCAGCGGCGAAGGCGGCUCUCUGGGCCUGUCCUGACGCUGAGACGCGAAAGCAUGGGGAGCGAACAGG